Molecule: long non-coding RNA, 485 nt
Filed under: Citrus sinensis (sweet orange)
Lineage: Eukaryota; Viridiplantae; Streptophyta; Magnoliopsida; Sapindales; Rutaceae
Description: long non-coding RNA (CSIN_LNC002066)
Source: RNAcentral
UUUUUCUUCAAUUGAAUUCCGGCUGCUGAUUUUUUUCUUCUUCUUGCCGAAUUGGAUCAGCCCCUGCUCUCUCUCCUCUCUUGUUGCCCCAAAUUCUUCUUCUCUUUAUUGCUUCCGCUUGAUCCUAUUUAUAAUGCUUCAAUUGUGGCUUUGUUUAAAUCCUUGCCUGGAGAGAAUUAAAUUCCAAGCUCAAAACCGCCACCUCAUGCUUCAAUUAAUAAGCCAAUAAUGAUUUCCUAAAGACAAAAGGCUUUAUUCUCUUUCCUUUCACGUGUCCACUUUUGGUUUGCAAUCUUUGUUUUCCAAUUUUGCUUUCAUGUGAUGGCUUGGCUUGUUAAUUGGCUUGGCUUCCUUUUUCUUCAAUUCCUUUUCGGUUUCUCCCUUGCUUUUCCUUCUUCCGGCUGCUAGUUCCUCAAAAUCAAAAGCCAAAAGUUGGCUUUUAUACUGCCCAAGAUUGGCCGUAUUUUAAAGCAAUUAAUUUGUUU